AUACGGAGGGUCCAAGCGUUAUCCGGAAUCAUUGGGUUUAAAGGGUCCGCAGGCGGUCAAUUAAGUCAGAGGUGAAAGCCCAGCGCUCAACGAUGGAACUGCCUUUGAUACUGGUUGACUUGAGUUAUACGGAAGUAGAUAGAAUAAGUAGUGUAGCGGUGAAAUGCAUAGAUAUUACUUAGAAUACCGAUUGCGAAGGCAGUCUACUACGUAUAUACUGACGCUGAGGGACGAAAGCGUGGGGAGCGAACAGGAUUAGAUACCCUAGUAGUCC
This 274-nucleotide ribosomal RNA is filed under the name uncultured bacterium. Its description in RNAcentral is "partial 16S ribosomal RNA". It matches the Rfam family "Bacterial small subunit ribosomal RNA", at positions 523 to 796 of the family's 1533-position model. The record is from RNAcentral.